Capsicum annuum is the source of this 384-nucleotide long non-coding RNA. RefSeq lists it as uncharacterized. The record is from RefSeq and is a predicted model, not a curated record. Lineage: Eukaryota; Viridiplantae; Streptophyta; Magnoliopsida; Solanales; Solanaceae. The transcript has 3 exons.
CAAAUUUAACCUCACGAAAAAGCACACCAUCUUAUAUCAAUCAAAAACUAGAUGAAUGGCGGUGGUAUUAUGCAUUAAUCUGCUUUUCUAGCUUGGAUUCAAGAAAGACUUGGAGGUACAUUAAAAUUCAAGGGACUUCCUGAGGAGAGCUGCAUCAAAGGCAUUUAUAGUUAUGUCGAGAAUCACAUUCCCUUUAGGUAAUUUUGUUCAAACUGGAAAGCAUUUUGAGGGCUUAUAUGUUUGUUUUGUAGAAUUUGGAUAACAUUUAGCCUAUAAGAUCCUGGCAUUAGUGUUGAAGUCUCCAAAUAGAAGUAUAUUAAAGAUGUUGACACGUGCAAAUUUCUAUUAAAAUUGCUAUGGCAUGAGUGAAAUAAUUUCCAAGAA